This is a long non-coding RNA of Frankliniella occidentalis (western flower thrips), 490 nucleotides long. RefSeq lists it as uncharacterized. The record is from RefSeq and is a predicted model, not a curated record. The transcript has 3 exons. Lineage: Eukaryota; Metazoa; Arthropoda; Insecta; Thysanoptera; Thripidae.
CCCUCGGCCUCCGAUCCGGUGCGGUCCGGGCUCCGUGCGGGACGUGCAGGACGCGACGCGAGCUCUGUGCAGUGGCGUAGCGCGGCGUACAGUGGCGUAGCGUAGCGUAGCGCAGUGUGUGUGAGUGCGUGCGACAGCAGAGUGCAGCAGUGAGUGCAGUCAGUGUGCCGUGUGCAGUAGUGUGCAGUGCCUUAAGUUUGGGACCCGUCGACGCCGUGCACCUAUUCAGGUCGCAGGCCGGCGAACAUGGGGUGUUGAGGGCAUCGACGAGGAGGUGAAGCACUUCAAAGGCAGCCGGCCGGCCACCGGCACGCAUCUGAUUCCGAGCAUGGGCCCGGAGCGGCCGCCCCCUCCCUUGCAUCACCGAGGGAUGGAGGGUCCACAGCCCCACGAGCGGCCACGGAGUCCGCGCCUCGAGCCCCACCGCACCGCCACCGGCGUGAGGUGGAGAGGGACGCACCUACUAGCGGGGCUCUUCCUCCUGUGUGCG